Molecule: ribosomal RNA, 203 nt
Filed under: uncultured bacterium
Lineage: Bacteria
Description: partial 16S ribosomal RNA
Rfam family: Bacterial small subunit ribosomal RNA
Source: RNAcentral
ACGCUCGACACCUACGGGGGCAGCAGUGGGGAAUAUUGCACAAUGGGGGAAACCCUGAUGCAGCAACGCCGCGUGAAGGAAGACGGUUUUCGGAUUGUAAACUUCUGUUCUUAGUGAAGAUAGUGACGGUAGCUAAGGAGCAAGCCACGGCUAACUACGUGCCAGCACGCCGACGGUAAUCUGAGGCGGGCGUGGACGAAGGC